AGUGAAAGAAUUAUUGAUUUGUUAUUAAAUAAAAUAUUAAAUGUUAAAUCAUUAAAUUUAUAAGAUUUGGCAGUAUUUUAAUUAAAUUAGAGGAAUCUGUGGUAUAAUUGAUGGUCCACGAUAAGAAUAACUUAAUAUUAUAACUUAUGUAUUGCUGUUUUAAAAAUUUUAUUAAGUAAAAUUUUUUAAUUAAAAUUUUAAUGUAAUUCAAGUCAAAAUAUAGUUUAUUUAAGAAAUUCAUGGAUUACAAUUUUUAUUAAUAAUGGAUAAUUUAAUUUAAAUUGAAUUUUAAAUUGGAUUUAAUAGUAAAUUUAAUAAAUUAAUUAAAUUGAAAUUGAUUUAAAAUAUGU
RNAcentral lists this ribosomal RNA (350 nucleotides) under Polistes actaeon. Its description in RNAcentral is "partial 12S ribosomal RNA". Lineage: Eukaryota; Metazoa; Arthropoda; Insecta; Hymenoptera; Vespidae. The record is from RNAcentral.